GACGGAGGGUGCGAGCGUUGUCCGGAAUCACUGGGCGUAAAGGGCGCGUAGGCGGCGCGGGAAGUCAUCGGUGAAAGUUCAGGGCUCAACUCUGAAUCGGCCGGUGAUACUCUCGUGCUCGAGCACUGUAGAGGCAGGUGGAAUUCCGGGUGUAGCGGUGGAAUGCGUAGAGAUCCGGAAGAACACCGGUGGCGAAGGCGGCCUGCUGGGCAGUAGCUGACGCUGAUGCGCGACAGCGUGGGGAGCAAACAGG
RNAcentral lists this ribosomal RNA (253 nucleotides) under uncultured bacterium. RNAcentral's name for it is "partial 16S ribosomal RNA". It matches the Rfam family "Bacterial small subunit ribosomal RNA", at positions 524 to 776 of the family's 1533-position model. The record is from RNAcentral.